GAUCAUGGCUCAGGAUGAACGCUAGCUACAGGCUUAACACAUGCAAGUUGAGGGGCAGCAUGGUCUUAGCUUGCUAAGGCCGAUGGCGACCGGCGCACGGGUGAGUAACGCGUAUCCAACCUGCCUUACACUCUUGGACAGCCUUCUGAAAGGGAGAUUAAUACAAGAUGUUAUCAUGAGUAAGCAUUUUCGCAUGAUUAAAGGUUUACCGGUGUAAGAUGGGGAGUGCG
RNAcentral lists this ribosomal RNA (230 nucleotides) under uncultured bacterium. Its description in RNAcentral is "partial 16S ribosomal RNA". It matches the Rfam family "Bacterial small subunit ribosomal RNA", at positions 15 to 235 of the family's 1533-position model. The record is from RNAcentral.